CUACGGGUCGCAGCAGUAAGGAAUAUUGCGCAAUGGAGGCAACUCUGACGCAGCCAUGCCGCGUGCAGGACUGAAGGCCUUAUGGGUCGUAAACUGCUUUUAUUUAGGAAUAAACCUUCGUACGUGUACGAGACUGAAGGUACUAAAUGAAUAAGCACCGGCUAACUCCGUGCCAGCAGCCGCGGUAAUACGGAGGGUGCAGGCGUUAUCCGGAUUUAUUGGGUUUAAAGGGUGCGCAGGCGGACUAUUAAGUCAGAGGUGAAAUCCCGGAGCUCAACUUCGGAACUGCCUUUGAUACUGGUAGUCUUGAAUACGGUUGAAGUAGGCGGAAUGUAGCAUGUAGCGGUGAAAUGCAUAGAGAUGCUACAGAACACCGAUCGCGAAGGCAGCUUACUAAGCCGAUAUUGACGCUCAGGCACGAAAGCGUGGGGAGCGAACAGGAUUAGAUACCCCGGUAGUC
Molecule: ribosomal RNA, 460 nt
Filed under: uncultured bacterium
Lineage: Bacteria
Description: partial 16S ribosomal RNA
Rfam family: Bacterial small subunit ribosomal RNA
Source: RNAcentral